This 406-nucleotide ribosomal RNA is filed under the name uncultured bacterium. Its description in RNAcentral is "partial 16S ribosomal RNA". It matches the Rfam family "Bacterial small subunit ribosomal RNA", at positions 30 to 526 of the family's 1533-position model. The record is from RNAcentral.
AUUGAACGCUGGCGGCAGGCCUAACACAUGCAAGUCGAGCGAGCGGCGGACGGGUGAGUAAUGUCUGGGAAACUGCCUGAUGGCGGGGGAUACCUACUUGAACCGGUAGCUCCUACCGCAUACCCUCCGAUGUGCCCAGAUGGGAUUAGCUAGUCGGUGGGGUAACGGCUCACCUAGGCGACGAUCCCUAGCUGGUCUGAGAGGAUGACCAGCCACACUGGAACUGAGACACGGUCCAGACUCCUACGGGAGGCAGCAGUGGGGAAUAUUGCACAAUGGGCGAAAGCCGGAUGCAGCCAUGCCGCGGGUGUGAAGAAGGUCUUCGGAUUGUAAAGCACUUUAAGUUGGGAGGCGUUACCAACAGAAUAAGCACCGGCUAACUUCAUGCCAGCAGCCGCGGUAAUAC